CCUACGGGAGGCAGCAGUGGGGGAUAUUGCACAAUGGGGGAAACCCUGAUGCAGCGACGCCGCGUGGGCGAAGAAGUAUUUCGGUAUGUAAAGCCCUAUCAGCAGGGAAGAAGAAAUGGCGGUACCUGAGUAAGAAGCACCGGCUAAAUACGUGCCAGCAGCCGCGGUAAUACGUAUGGUGCAAGCGUUAUCCGGAUUUACUGGGUGUAAAGGGAGCGCAGGCGGCACGGCAAGCCUGAUGUGAAAGCCCGCGGCCCAACCGCGGGACUGCAUUGGGAACUACCGGGCUGGAGUGCCGGAGAGGUAGGCGGAAUUCCUAGUGUAGCGGUGAAAUGCGUAGAUAUUAGGAGGAACACCAGUGGCGAAGGCGGCCUACUGGACGGUGACUGACGCUGAGGCUCGAAAGCGUGGGGUGCAAACAGGAUUAGAUACCCCAGUAGUC
Molecule: ribosomal RNA, 442 nt
Filed under: uncultured bacterium
Lineage: Bacteria
Description: partial 16S ribosomal RNA
Rfam family: Bacterial small subunit ribosomal RNA
Source: RNAcentral